CACGGACCAAGGAGUUUAUCGUGUGCGCAAGUCAUUGGGUGUUGAAAACUCAAAGGCGCAAUGAAAGUAAAGAAUCCGCAAGGAUACGACGUGUGAUCUGAGCAAUCACGAUUGCCUGGAGCAACAUGGCCCCAUUCUGGUCGCUUGCGACGGGGUGGAGGAAGAGCGUACGCGGUGAGACCCGAAAGAUGGUGAACUAUUCCUGAGCAGGAUGAAGCCAGAGGAAACUCUGGUGGAAGUCCGAAGCGAUUCUGACGUGCAAAUCGAUCGUCUGACUUGGGUAUAGGGGCGAAAGACUAAUCGAACCAUCUAGUAGCUGGUUCCUUCCGAA
RNAcentral lists this ribosomal RNA (331 nucleotides) under Pratylenchus penetrans. RNAcentral's name for it is "partial large subunit ribosomal RNA". It matches the Rfam family "Eukaryotic large subunit ribosomal RNA", at positions 660 to 965 of the family's 3401-position model. The record is from RNAcentral. Lineage: Eukaryota; Metazoa; Nematoda; Chromadorea; Rhabditida; Pratylenchidae.